GACGAACCGUGCGAACGUUGUUCGGAUUCAUUGGGCGUAAAGGGUGCGUAGGCGGCGCGGUAAGUCGGGUGUGAAAUCUUGGAGCUUAACUCCGAAACUGCAUUCGAUACUGCCGUGCUUGAGGACUGGAGAGGAGACUGGAAUUUACGGUGUAGCGGUGAAAUGCGUAGAUAUCGUAAGGAAGACCAGUGGCGAAGGCGGGUCUCUGGACAGUUCCUGACGCUGAGGCACGAAGGUCAGGGGAGCAAACGGG
Molecule: ribosomal RNA, 253 nt
Filed under: uncultured bacterium
Lineage: Bacteria
Description: partial 16S ribosomal RNA
Rfam family: Bacterial small subunit ribosomal RNA
Source: RNAcentral